RNAcentral lists this ribosomal RNA (497 nucleotides) under uncultured bacterium. Its description in RNAcentral is "partial 16S ribosomal RNA". It matches the Rfam family "Bacterial small subunit ribosomal RNA", at positions 28 to 507 of the family's 1533-position model. The record is from RNAcentral.
GAUGAACGCUGGCGGCGUGCCUAAUACAUGCAAGUCGAGCGAACGGACGAGAAGCUUGCUUCUCUGAUGUUAGCGGCGGACGGGUGAGUAACACGUGGAUAACCUACCUAUAAGACUGGGAUAACUUCGGGAAACCGGAGCUAAUACCGGAUAAUAUUUUGAACCGCAUGGUUCAAAAGUGAAAGACGGUCUUGCUGUCACUUAUAGAUGGAUCCGCGCUGCAUUAGCUAGUUGGUAAGGUAACGGCUUACCAAGGCAACGAUGCAUAGCCGACCUGAGAGGGUGAUCGGCCACACUGGAACUGAGACACGGUCCAGACUCCGACGGGAGGCAGCAGUAGGGAAUCUUCCGCAAUGGGCGAAAGCCUGACGGAGCAACGCCGCGUGAGUGAUGAAGGUCUUCGGAUCGUAAAACUCUGUUAUUAGGGAAGAACAUAUGUGUAAGUAACUGUGCACAGCUUGACGGUACCUAAUCAGAAAGCCACGGCUAACUACGUG